AAACUAUGAAAAUUCAAAAAAAAGCUUCUAACUUUAUUUUAAGCGAUGAAAUUCGUUUAUAGUUUU
This 66-nucleotide transfer RNA is filed under the name Curculionoidea sp. 16 KM-2017. Its description in RNAcentral is "tRNA-Ser". Lineage: Eukaryota; Metazoa; Arthropoda; Insecta; Coleoptera. The record is from RNAcentral.